GAUGAACGCUGGCGGCGUGCCUAAUACAUGCAAGUCGAGCGAACGGACGAGAAGCUUGCUUCUCUGAUGUUAGCGGCGGACGGGUGAGUAACACGUGGAUAACCUACCUAUAAGACUGGGAUAACUUCGGGAAACCGGAGCUAAUACCGGAUGAUAUUUUGAACCGCAUGGUUCAAAAGUGAAAGACGGUCUUGCUGUCACUUAUAGAUGGAUCCGCGCUGCAUUAGCUAGUUGGUAAGGUAACGGCUUAUCAAGGCAACGAUGCAUAGCCGACCUGAGAGGGUGAUCGGCCACACUGGAACUGAGACACGGUCCAGACUCCUACGGGAGGCAGCAGUAGGGAAUCUUCCGCAAUGGGCGAAAGCCUGACGGAGCAACGCCGCGUGAGUGAUGAAGGUCUUCGGAUCGUAAAACUCUGUUAUUAGGGAAGAACAUAUGUGUAAGUAACUGUGCACAUCUUGACGGUACCUAAUCAGAAAGCCACGGCUAACUACGUG
RNAcentral lists this ribosomal RNA (497 nucleotides) under uncultured bacterium. RNAcentral's name for it is "partial 16S ribosomal RNA". It matches the Rfam family "Bacterial small subunit ribosomal RNA", at positions 28 to 507 of the family's 1533-position model. The record is from RNAcentral.